Molecule: long non-coding RNA, 1157 nt
Organism: Manihot esculenta (cassava)
Lineage: Eukaryota; Viridiplantae; Streptophyta; Magnoliopsida; Malpighiales; Euphorbiaceae
Exons: 2
Source: RefSeq, a predicted model, not a curated record
AUGAAUCACUAAACAUCGAAUUCAAUUGCUUUUUAUGCUCCGUUCCACCAUGACUCAGAGUUGCUGGCAAAAAAUGUCAGCAGACAGGCCUAUCCCAAGACGAAAAGAUGAGCAAGGCACGAUGCUCAAUGCUCAUCUUUUGAAUCUCAGCUACAAUCACGUCAAUGGUCAAUGCUCAGACAUGGUUUAAUCAAUUUCAUUGGGGCUAUAUUCAAAUAGGAGAGUUAGGAUUAGGAGCAGUGGCACUGCUAGCAAGGGAUUGGAGAGGCCUUCCUCUUGGCUGUUAAUGUCAUCCACUAAACUAUGUCAAUUUCACUUCUUUUAAUAGAAACUGCAACAAAGUGGCUCUUAGUUUAGCCCCAGAAGCAUUCAUGAUCAAUCCUUCCAGCGGAUAGCGAGGGUUAUACAACCUUCGACCUUCCCUUCUUUCUUGUCUCUCGUUUCUCUAGGCUAUUGGCCUUCACCCUACCGCACCAUUGGUUCCUUUUUGCCCCGUUGGGCAGAAGACAUCUCCCCUUACUCGAUUGUGGGUCUACCCUCACUACCAUCAGGUCUUAAGCUCCCCAGAUUAGGUUCCAAAUGUUGAGUUCUGGUGUUGGAUGGCAUUGGUGGCUCGAGGAGUAAGCCCCAAAGAUACGGGUGUCACUAAGAGCACAUCCCCUCCCUCAUUGGUUUUAUCUUUUCUGGGGGUGUUCUUCUCCUAUCUAAUCUUCUCCCUCUCAGGCAGUUUCCUUGGUUGCAUGUGUUUGGCCGGCCUUUUGCUCCGUUUCUAUGUUCCUAGAGGGUUUUGUGCGUAUGUUAUUUUCUCUCCCCAAUCCUCAAUGUGUUUCACAUGGUCUUUGAGACUACUAUAAAUGGAGAUGCCUUCCUGUUUGCUCCAGCCAGCAUCGUCGGUCGGUUUCUCCAGAAGGGAGCAGAGCAUUGUGUUUGAGCAACCGGAUCUAGUGUUGGAACAACCGGGUUAGGGUUUUUAGGAUUUUGUUUUAUAUGGACUUUCUUUGUGUUGGGCUCUAGAAUUUCUUAUUAUUUUGAAACUCUGGUUGGAUUGUUUUUAUUUUAUCUUGUUUAUAAAUUCCUAUGUUCUCCGAUGCAUUGAGGACUAUGUACUGGCCAGAUCAAAUUUUAAUUGAUUUAUGAAUGAAAUGUUAUCUUAGACU